GGGGGGGGGGCGGAGCUCGGUCACAGGUGCAAAGCAUUCUGAUUGGCUGGGAUGAGGCGUUGGUGCGUGUGCUGUCACGUGGAAGGCUCGGCGCAAUUCCUGUACACUGUUGCGUAGUAUGUGUUAAAGUAGGUAGAGAAAAAGAGGCCUGAGAGAGAGUGACAAAGCAUCCGAAGCGGGCUCGGCACCGACAGUAGAGAGCGAGAUUCGGGGCUGGAACUCACGAAGCCGCCAAGAUCACAACCUGAGCGGAAGUCCGGUAGUUCAACCGACUGAGCCACCCAGGCGACCCGUCGUAUGUGUUUUUAAGUCAAGAAUAGGAGUUGAAAACUUAUUAAAUGCUUUUUGUGGAUCAUUUCAGAUGA
Felis catus (domestic cat) is the source of this 365-nucleotide long non-coding RNA. RefSeq lists it as uncharacterized. The record is from RefSeq and is a predicted model, not a curated record. Lineage: Eukaryota; Metazoa; Chordata; Mammalia; Carnivora; Felidae. The transcript is spliced from 2 exons.